Molecule: long non-coding RNA, 674 nt
Organism: Dreissena polymorpha
Lineage: Eukaryota; Metazoa; Mollusca; Bivalvia; Myida; Dreissenidae
Exons: 3
Source: RefSeq, a predicted model, not a curated record
GGUUAUAGUUGCGAGACCACGCCUUAGAAGACCCUGAAGGGCUUCCCUUGUGUGAUUCCCUCCAAGGGUCUCAACCUGUCCGGCACCUGCAAUUCCAUGAUAUCAUUAUCCCUGUGAAUACAACAGCCAGGACAGAUUUUGAGGGCGCGCAAAGAAUUUAGAGGGAUUUAAUAAAGGCUAUAUUCUAAGGAACCAAAUAUUACCAAUAUUAAAGGAGAUCAAGCUAUACAACAUACCUUCAGCUGUGAAAUACUGUUCCUUGAAGCCUUCAGUCCAGAUAUGAUGCCUUUCACUUCCUCGUUGACUAUCAACAGCAAAGUCAUCGCACUCAAGCGAACAGACCACUCCAUAUUUACCAAUUAUAAUAGCAAUGCUUAUAAGUUAUUUUAUAACAGCACGAACUGAAACUGUAAUUAAGAUACUAGUAUGUUGGAUUUAUAAUGUGUUGUGACGAUUAUGUAUUAUAUCAUAUCAGUUGACGAGUGAUGUAACGCGCACCUGCAAAGUUUAUACUCCGCCCACAGGUUGGCAAAAAUAGAUGGGAUUCGUAUAAGCUCCGCCCAUAUAAAGACGGUGAACAUAAUCCUCGAUCUUAAUGAUAAUCAUGCACUAUAUCAAAUAUAAUUAUAAAUUAUGUCUGAAUAAAACAUAAGCUUGCAAGUAAAUGCAUUUUA